This is a long non-coding RNA of Populus euphratica (Euphrates poplar), 101 nucleotides long. RefSeq lists it as uncharacterized. The record is from RefSeq and is a predicted model, not a curated record. NCBI's taxonomy places the organism in Eukaryota, Viridiplantae, Streptophyta, Magnoliopsida, Malpighiales, Salicaceae. The transcript has 3 exons.
AAGUGAUCUUUAAAAGGAUCUGGAAUAGCUUCCUCCCUUCUUCCUUUCCUCAUUGGCGGUGACAAACACCAUUACCUAUAAAAGUAGAAAAAUACACAAGA